Molecule: long non-coding RNA, 1311 nt
Organism: Dermacentor silvarum
Lineage: Eukaryota; Metazoa; Arthropoda; Arachnida; Ixodida; Ixodidae
Exons: 3
Source: RefSeq, a predicted model, not a curated record
UCAGCAUGCUUUCUGCGUGCUGCAGGAAGUUAAACUUGGGAGAGGAAGUUGACACGUGACAAAACAAGUCGCUUCGCAAACGAAGUAGCACCUCUAUGGCUUUUGAAGUUGUCAGUUCUGGUGGUUGUUGCAACUACUUGUUUUCAGGGCGUCGCUGUCCUUGCGUGAGUACGGUGUCACUACAAGUUCUGCGGACUCAGCAUGAAGGCACUCUAGCAUCAUCAGUCUAAUUAACCUUCCUGAGGGCCAGGCGCCGGACAUUUAAUGAGAUGGUCACAAAAAUCUUUACAGGCAAUAGGAGUCACAAAAGAGCUUUGACACUUCCGCAGCAGGAGCCAACAUAAGCGACGACGACCAAAUACAGUUGGACGCUGAAGCAAGACAAACCAUGGUGCAAAGGCGUAUUAGGUCUCAAAGGCUAUAGUUUAGUGGGAUUAACGCAUCUCAUCUCUUCGAAACGAAGAGCAGUUGGUCUCCAAUGGAAUAUCUGCGUAUCCAAUUAGAAUAGUGAUGUGGUAGUUUCUUCCACGCGUAGAUUUUAUUGGAAACUGAAGCGAAGACUGGAAUAAUUUGCGUGGGAGAAAUUCAACUUCCACAUCGAAUCAAUGCGCGAACUUUGUAGGCCGUGGCCAUUACUUUUUACUACAGCCCAGAUCGACAGUGUGCCAAUGUGGACUAAAGAUGUAGCAGUCCAGCACGGAAACCAGCGUCUACAGUGGGGCUGUCGAAUUCCAGUGUACACCGUUGCCGGCCUGAGUUAGAGACGCCCACAACGUGUGCCCUACUCGACACCACUCGGCUACGGUAUUACGGCGCAUGUUUUUCUUGGCACUAGGGUGACGUCUCAACACGUGACCGUGCACAUGUGACUACGCUGUCAUUGUUCGCCAGUGGGCACGACUACAGCGAAGGUGUCGACAUGCUGUGAGCGCUGUGCUAGCACGGAUUUGCAGAACACGGUUUGGUAGCUGCCGCCGGACCCGGAGUGUUGUGCCCAAGUAUGGCUGAAUGAUACCGGCCAGCGUCUGGCCACUCUCAUGGUCACUGUGCAACGUGAACUGGAGUAAGAAUGCCGCUUUGCAUGAAGAAUGCAAUAAUCAGCUGCCCAACGCUGCCAUCUGGAUAUCGACGGCACUUGUCUAUGACGGGGAAAACACAGUUGGAACCAUAAACGGCAUGACUGUGACAAGGAUAGCGCAGGACAUCCUUUGCCUCCACCGAACCAGCAACCGUCGUAAGACUCGGUAGCCCACGGGCCUGAACGUUUUACGUUUGAUAGGCAAGUAAAUGGAUAAAUAAAUUUGAUCGCUG